GUGGGGAAUCUUGCGCAAUGGGCGAAAGCCUGACGCAGCCAUGCCGCGUGAAUGAUGAAGGUCUUAGGAUUGUAAAAUUCUUUCACCGGGGACGAUAAUGACGGUACCCGGAGAAGAAGCCCCGGCUAACUUCGUGCCAGCAGCCGCGGUAAUACGAAGGGGGCUAGCGUUGCUCGGAAUUACUGGGCGUAAAGGGCGCGUAGGCGGACAGUUUAGUCAGAGGUGAAAGCCCAGGGCUCAACCUUGGAAUUGUCUUUGAUACUGGCUGUCUUGAGUACGGGAGAGGUGAGUGGAACUCCGAGUGUAGAGGUGAAAUUCGUAGAUAUUCGGAAGAACACCAGUGGCGAAGGCGACUCACUGGCCCGUUACUGACGCUGAGGCGCGAAAGCGUGGGGAGCAAACAGGAUUAGAUACCCCAGUAGUCC
RNAcentral lists this ribosomal RNA (425 nucleotides) under uncultured bacterium. RNAcentral's name for it is "partial 16S ribosomal RNA". It matches the Rfam family "Bacterial small subunit ribosomal RNA", at positions 354 to 796 of the family's 1533-position model. The record is from RNAcentral.